RNAcentral lists this long non-coding RNA (245 nucleotides) under Elaeis guineensis (African oil palm). Its description in RNAcentral is "long non-coding RNA (EGUI_LNC003885)". The record is from RNAcentral. Lineage: Eukaryota; Viridiplantae; Streptophyta; Magnoliopsida; Arecales; Arecaceae.
CCUUCCUUAGACCAAUUUUUCUCCUUGAUCUCUAUAGCUUUUAUGCAGGCUUCAUUGAUGUCUUCAAUUUUCAAAAACUUUAUGUUCUUCGAAUACUCUAUGGUGACUUUCGAUGUACUUCAUGAGGACCAUAUGAUCAUUGAUAGAGAUCCCAAGUAAACUUGCUUGCUUGGUGUAAUCUUGGAUAGUUUGAUUAUACUUUUGCCUCAGGUAUUAUCACUUGAUCCAUUGAUCCUUCUCAUGGC